AUUAUAAGGAAUGACAUAUCUAUUGUCUAGUGGUACACCCUUCUUAUCGAUGCUCCUACCAUCAUUCCUUCUCCUAUAUGUAGGAAUCUCUUCACUUCCGACCAUGCUGGAUUGCAUUUGAAAGUUAAAAAUAGGCCAGGAUAACCUAUGGAUCUACAUAUUGCCAUUGCAUCUUGAAAGUUUUGUAUCAUAUAUCUAGCACCUCUAGUAAAUGAGGAUGGAAGUAUGAUCUUUUUUCCUGUGCGAGAAGGAUCUGUCUCACCCCUAAUCAAUGCAUCCGUGAGACCUUUAUACAUGUCAACUCGUAGUUCUUUUUGAUGACUACGAAUGUAAUUAAGUCUAUCACUUUCUACCAUUGAAAAUCCAUCAACAAUGAAUUGUUGAAGUAAUCUUUUAGAGUGAAGUAGAAUAGAUUGCUCAUUAUUUCUAUCCAUCAACCUAAAAGACAAAUAUUCUCGCGGAGUAAAAGUCUUUUUUUUCUUAGUACGCUGAAGGCUAUUUUCAUUAUGUUGGAUGGUUGAAUCAUAACCAUUAUUUCCAUAGUGGAAAAUAAUAGGAUACUGUAGAGGAAGGUAUGCUUUGUGCAGUUCA
Molecule: long non-coding RNA, 591 nt
Organism: Neltuma alba
Lineage: Eukaryota; Viridiplantae; Streptophyta; Magnoliopsida; Fabales; Fabaceae
Exons: 2
Source: RefSeq, a predicted model, not a curated record